UCCCUGAUGGUCUAGUGGUCAGGAUACGGUGGUCUCACCACUGUGGCCCGGGUUCGAUUCCUGGUAAGGAAA
RNAcentral lists this transfer RNA (72 nucleotides) under Danionella translucida. It matches the Rfam family "tRNA". Rfam says of the family: Transfer RNA (tRNA) molecules are approximately 80 nucleotides in length. Their secondary structure includes four short double-helical elements and three loops (D, anti-codon, and T loops). Further hydrogen bonds mediate the characteristic L-shaped molecular structure. tRNAs have two regions of fundamental functional importance: the anti-codon, which is responsible for specific mRNA codon recognition, and the 3' end, to which the tRNAs corresponding amino acid is attached (by aminoacyl-tRNA synthetases). tRNAs cope with the degeneracy of the genetic code in two manners: having more than one tRNA (with a specific anti-codon) for a particular amino acid; and 'wobble' base-pairing, i.e. permitting non-standard base-pairing at the 3rd anti-codon position. The record is from Rfam by way of RNAcentral. Lineage: Eukaryota; Metazoa; Chordata; Actinopteri; Cypriniformes; Danionidae. RNAcentral also lists the same sequence under 1 other name.